ACAGCGGAAAACCCCGUGGGUCACCGGGCACCAACAUGCAUAUCGGCUGAAACUUGGAUCCAUGCUAAAUUGAAGCAAAGUUGAACUAAUAUGCCGUGCGAAAAAGCAAAAUAAUUAUUUCAUUUUAAUGUUUAUUAAGCUAAACCGUCAUUAUAUUUUUCAUCUAAAACGUUAUUGAUGUGUAUUUUCUAAUCGCGUUUAGGCGUCGUGUAUCAGAUCGCAACUGCUAAUAAUUUCGUCGUGUGAGGCGGACUGUUAUGGAUGUAUCAAAUCUUCAGUGAUGAUGAAUGCGUUCAUGCAUCUACGAGCCGGUAACUGGCGGUAUCCAGAUCAUUGUCGUUUUGUUAGCUUACCUAAGCUACCGAAAUUAGCGACAGUGUAAAAUCUGUGCUGUGAGAAUUACAGCUGCCGUACGAAGCGCAGCAUAUUGGAGCAAGUCCAAUCGGACAGCAACCACCUGGAGCAAACGUACGCCGGACGAAUGGACGUGGUAGAGGCGUUAUGAUUGGAAGGCGAUAUUUGCGCUCUGAAAAUGCUAGCACAGAUGUUUGGGCCACAGAGUUUCAGAUAAACUGUUCUCAUCAAUGCCACACCAUGUACGGUCGGUUAGUUACACUUCAUCACGAAGGACAAUCACAUCUGGG
Anopheles merus is the source of this 644-nucleotide long non-coding RNA. RefSeq lists it as uncharacterized. The transcript is spliced from 4 exons. Lineage: Eukaryota; Metazoa; Arthropoda; Insecta; Diptera; Culicidae. The record is from RefSeq and is a predicted model, not a curated record.